GUACACACCGCCCGUCAAGUCACGAAAGUCGGUAACACCCGAAGCCGGUGGCCCAACCCUUGUGGAGGGAGCUGUCGAAGGUGGGACUGGCGAUUGGGACUAAGUCGUAACAAGGUAGCCGUACCGGAAGGUGCGGCUGGAUCACCUCCUUUCUAAGGAGCAUCUGGCAUCAGGUCGUCCCGUCGUGGGGUGGCUGUGGUGUCCAGGCCCGUUGUCCCUGCCGAACGAGUGGGGGACGGUGCUCGAGGGUGGAACAUCGACUGUGGCCGGCUCUGUGAGCUGGUGGCGCCUAGUACGCCAGGCCUCUUCGGGGGUUCUGGGUGGGAACGGUGGCUGCUGGGGAUCGGGUCGGCUGGGCACGCUGUUGGGUCCUGAGGGAACAGCCGUCAUGGUUGUUCGUUCAGGGUCGCUACGCACGCGGUCUGCACCUGUGGGUGUGGGGUGGGUGUGGGUGGCUGCGGGCUGGUACCGCUCAGUCAAACCGGCUGACAUGUGCUGCGCUGUUGCGUGGGUGGGUGUGGGUAGGUGCUGGGGUGAGGGUGUCAGAGCCGGUCGUAGCUUGAGAACUGCACAGUGGACGCGAGCAUCUUUUAUUUGAAUGAUCUUUGUGGUCAAGUUUAUAAGGGCGCACGGUGGAUGCCU
RNAcentral lists this unclassified non-coding RNA (642 nucleotides) under uncultured bacterium. RNAcentral's name for it is "partial contains 16S ribosomal RNA, 16S-23S ribosomal RNA intergenic spacer, and 23S ribosomal RNA". The stretch from base 1 to 152 matches the Rfam family "Bacterial small subunit ribosomal RNA", at positions 1383 to 1533 of the family's 1533-position model. The record is from RNAcentral.